This is a long non-coding RNA of Ochotona princeps (American pika), 729 nucleotides long. RefSeq lists it as uncharacterized. NCBI's taxonomy places the organism in Eukaryota, Metazoa, Chordata, Mammalia, Lagomorpha, Ochotonidae. The record is from RefSeq and is a predicted model, not a curated record. The transcript is spliced from 3 exons.
UAAGACUUCUUGUAGUUGUAAACUUCAGCCACUGUCUACAUACCGAUUAAAAUACUUCAUAAAGUCAUCAAGUCAAAUAGUGUUACUCAACUAGUUGCAAGCCAGAUCAUGUCAUCUUAUUCUACAAUUGCUCAGAAGAAUGAAAAUAAAAAUGUUAAAGACAACUCAGCUCGGGCACAAUCCCUUCCACAGAGCUGCAUCUGAGACGUGCUUCCUUGUGAGAGAAGCAAACUGUGGCAUAAAGAAUAUGAGGAAUUCCCAGAGACUGCAGUGUUCCAGAAGGCCCCUGGCACUCUGCUGGAGUGUAUCUAAAGGAAAUUCAGGAGGUUUUUUUCUCUCAUUAUGUGUAUGCAAGAAAGAACCCCUCAUGAGAAGGGAAAAGUCCUUGUGGAAUAGUUUCAGUCAUCGCUGCUACAAAGGGAGGGAUGAUGAAGAAAAGAAAAACACAACAAAUCCAAGGAGAAUGAGAACUUCAUGGAAAUAGAUUGGAGAUGCUGAAACCAAGGAAAGGAAUAUACGAGAGAGGAAAAUCUGUAUCGCUGGAGCAAUUCUUCUGAAGGAAGUUCUGGAAAUUCCAGGACAUCUGUACACAGCAGGUCGGGACAGGUUACCAUCUAGAACAUGAUGUGAAAUCUCUUGGUUGAGCUGCUGUCCCCAGUUCAAUUAGGCAUGUCACAGAAUCCAGCCCGUGUGCUGUGACCGCCUCGGGGAUUUUCUUUCGAUAGAGGA